Scophthalmus maximus (turbot) is the source of this 2097-nucleotide long non-coding RNA. NCBI's taxonomy places the organism in Eukaryota, Metazoa, Chordata, Actinopteri, Pleuronectiformes, Scophthalmidae. The record is from Ensembl.
AUGCUCAUUGCUUCAUUGGGAUUCUCACUGGAUCCAAUCACACUGUCAAGCUUGGAUGGGAGGCCUGUCUCCUCACUUCUCCUCCUGCUCUCACAGCCACAACCACAACGUGAGAUGAGAGACAGCCACCCGCAGUCCGACACCCAAAAGGUUUGGGAACAACAUUUUUUUUUAUUUCGGGGAAUUUGUUUUGGAGUCAAAGGAGCAUAAGACAGUAAUAAUCACCUGGUCCAAAAAGUCAAGUACCAAACACAAAAAAUUGAAGUGAACACUGACUGACUUUUGCAUGAAGAUGAAUGACAACAAAUAACCUCAGCAGUUAAUAAUGAAAUUUGAAGAAAAAAAAACAAACGAAAAAACAUAUCGCUGGAGGAUAACGCCAUAAAAAUGAGACAUUCAAUUAAGCUACAUAAUAACAGAAAAUAAAUAAAAUGCAAAAAAGACAAGUUGCGCUGACGAGAACAUUGACACAGUUUUUAAAGAAACAAAAAAACACCCGUUAAGUCAGUAAGGUGCUAGCCAUAGAUCUCCACAUCCAUCACAAUCCGUCUUUAUGUUCUUGUUCUGAUUUCUUUUUAAAUUUCCAAUAAGAAAAUAAAUAACAUGAUGAAAGUAACUGCAGAAUAAGGAGGAGUCCCUAACACAAGAUCGGAGGGAGGUGUUGUCCAUUUGACCCGACAGCCUCCGGCGGUCAGAUAUCCAUGCGACUGAAGAGAAACACCGUCCAGAGAGACUAGACUUCUAAUCUAACAACAUCUGCUCCCGACUAAACAAGUGCUCAUGUGCACGUCAUUUUUUUCCAUCUCCUGUUACUGUUCCUGGCAAAAGAAUUUAAAAAUAUGUCUCUCACGUUGCUACAGCUGAACAAAAAAAGUCUAAUCAGAUGGUCUGCCUGUACAAGAAGAGGGCUUUGAAAAGGAAGUGAACAGAAUCUUGAAUUCUCUGUACAAUAUUGACCUGCAAAGCACAACGGCUAUGAUGUAGUAAAAUAUGUAAACGUGUUUGCUGCUUUUGACAACAGAUAGAAUCACGCUUUGUUCACACUGGAGUAAGUCGUUUGUCUGGAUGUUUUUUUCUUUUGUAAGAUUGCAAAUUAUAUCUCCGCCAGACAAAUUAUGAUAACGCCUUUUGCCACAGCAUAUCAGGGAAAUUGCAAAGAAAAGUGGACAAAAACAAAAACAAGAGCAAACAAAGGGAAACGCUAUCAGAGAUUUAAAAAUUCAGAGACGUAACAACGUGUCGUGCAAUUUGCCUGGUGGUUCCACUGUUGCACGCUCGAACACCAUCUAGAAUUCGGAUGCCAUGCGCGGCGCUCCAAUGCUUAGCUGAGACGUGAGGGAGGGAGAGGAAAAUAUUGAGAUACAUUACUGUAGCACAUCCUGCUGAGCAGUCACUGAGCACGGCCUUACUCAACCCUGACUGGACAUCCUUCAAAAAAAAAAGGACCUAAAUUCAAUAACUAAAUAAAUCACAAAAUGAAUACAUAAAAAGCCAACCCCCCCAAAAAAAAUAAAAAUAAAAAGACAGCUUUAAGUGUACAUAUACUUUACCUCUUGUCGCAUCCAUGAAAGCUACAUUUAACGAAACCGUUUGCGAUGUGAAAUCAUGUUUUGACUUCCAACUGUUUCCCGACAAUCAUUGUUUCUUGAGGUCCCUCACGUACACAGAUGCCAGCACCACGUCACAUACACCUCACAUGCAUGCUCAGAAUGGCUGAAAUGACGGUGAUCGUAUUUUACAGGGUUACAACGGACAAGGUCAUUGGAUCUCCGAGGAUCGCACACCUCUUGACAGUCACUUGGGGUCGUGUGGAUGUUGAGAGUGAUAGUUAUUCACACUGCAACAUGUCACCAGCAGGGACUCCUCUUUAAAAAGGAUCGUGUUGAAUCCCGGUGAAGUUGUACUGCAUUGUCUCUCCAUAAUGCUUACAAUAGUAAGUGUGCUUCCAUAAGCCAAAGGUCUUUUGUCAGUGUUUCAGUCUCAGGACUCGGCGAGUCGUGAGUUCUCAGGAGAUUUGAUCCUUUUUAAAUCACAGUUGCCAAUAUGGUACUGUCAAAAUGUUUAUAACUUUGUUCCAAACAGUUUGUAUUUUUAUGU